CAGAAGUGAGGCGCCCAGAGAAGUGUUCACUUGUGGCUCGAAGUCCAGGUGUGAUACUGCAUGAAAACCCCCCGAUUUGGCCAUCCAGAGCAUGGUAAUCAAGAAACGCCUAGAUGUUUCCAAAAAUGGAUUGGGUGUCCCUCCAAGUGUUCAUGAAAAGGUUAAAUUUCCUCUUGGUGGAGAGUUACAGAGGAGAUUAGCAGAUCAGGCUGAAUUAGGGCCUCACUGUGUUACCCAGGCUGGAGUGCAGUGGUGCAGUCACAGCUCACUGCAGCCUCGACUUCCCAGGCUUAAGCACAUCUCCCACCUCAGUUUCCCAAGUAGCUGGGACCACAGGGACAUGGAUGAAGCUGGAAACCAUCAUCCUCAGCAAACUAACACAGGAACAGAAAACCAAACACCGCAUGUUCUCACUCAUAAGUGGGAGUUGAACAAUGAAAACACAUGGACACAGGGAGGGGAACAUCACACACCGGGGCCUGUCAGGGAGUGGGGGGCUAGGGGAGGGAG
Molecule: long non-coding RNA, 510 nt
Filed under: Pan troglodytes (chimpanzee)
Lineage: Eukaryota; Metazoa; Chordata; Mammalia; Primates; Hominidae
Description: lincRNA
Source: RNAcentral